ACGACUAUAAUCACGGUGGUAAACCCUAGGGUAGAAACUAAUCUGGGCUGUAAAAAGCCACAAGCUACAAUAAUCAUAACCCUAAAUUCCACACCACUUUAACUCGCAAAAGCUGGGACAUAAACUAGGAUUAGAUACCCUACUAUACCCAACCGCAACACACAAUAAAAUUACCAAUUGUUCGCCAAACAACUACGAGUAGUAACUUAAAACUUAAAAGACUUGACGGUACUUCACUACAUCCUAGAGGAGCCUGUCUAAUAACCGACAACCCACGAUUAACCCUACCCUAUCUUGCCAACAGUCUAUAUACCACCGUCGCAAGCUUACCUUGUAAGAGAACCACAGUGAGCUCAACAGCCCAACUCUAAUACGACAGGUCGAGGUGUAACUAAUGAAAGGGUCACAGAUGGGCUACAUUCUCUUUCUAGAGAAUACGGAUAACACUAUGAACAUAGUGUUUGAAGGAGGAUUUAGCAGUAAGAUGGGAAUAAACUACCUAACUGAACAUUUCGCAAUGAAGUGCGUACACACCGCCCGUCACCCCUGCAAC
RNAcentral lists this ribosomal RNA (553 nucleotides) under Cerastes cerastes (horn viper). RNAcentral describes it as "partial small subunit ribosomal RNA". The record is from RNAcentral. Lineage: Eukaryota; Metazoa; Chordata; Lepidosauria; Squamata; Viperidae.